AGGGCACCACCAGGAGUGGAGCCUGCGGCUUAAUUUGACUCAACACGGGAAAACUCACCCGGCCCGGACACUGGAAGGAUUGACAGAUUGAGAGCUCCUUCUUGAUUCAGUGGGUGGUGGUGCAUGGCCGUUCUUAGUUGGUGGAGUGAUUUGUCUGGUUAAUUCCGAUAACGAACGAGACUCUAGCCUACUAAAUAGAUAGUCGGCUUACAAACGUCGACUAGACUUCUUAGAGGGACAGGCGGUGAUUCAACCGCACGAAACAGAGCAAUAACAGGUCUGUGAUGCCCUUAGAUGUCCGGGGCCGCACGCGCGCUACACUGAAGUGAUCAGCGUGCUUUUUCAGCCUACUCUGUCAAGAGUGGGAAACCCAAUGAACCUUCUUCGUGAUUGGGAUAGGGGAUUGUAAUUAUUCCCCUUGAACGAGGAAUUCCCAGUAAGCGCGAGUCAUAAGCUCGCGUUGAUUACGUCCCUGCCCUUUGUACACACCGCCCGUCGCUACUACCGAUUGAAUGUUUU
This 519-nucleotide ribosomal RNA is filed under the name uncultured eukaryote. Its description in RNAcentral is "SSU rRNA". It matches the Rfam family "Eukaryotic small subunit ribosomal RNA", at positions 1161 to 1699 of the family's 1831-position model. The record is from RNAcentral.